RNAcentral lists this small nuclear RNA (196 nucleotides) under Diplodia corticola. RNAcentral describes it as "Botryosphaeria corticola U2 spliceosomal RNA". It matches the Rfam family "U2 spliceosomal RNA". Rfam says of the family: U2 is a small nuclear RNA (snRNA) component of the spliceosome (involved in pre-mRNA splicing). Complementary binding between U2 snRNA (in an area lying towards the 5' end but 3' to hairpin I) and the branchpoint sequence (BPS) of the intron results the bulging out of an unpaired adenosine, on the BPS, which initiates a nucleophilic attack at the intronic 5' splice site, thus starting the first of two transesterification reactions that mediate splicing. The record is from Rfam by way of RNAcentral. Lineage: Eukaryota; Fungi; Ascomycota; Dothideomycetes; Botryosphaeriales; Botryosphaeriaceae.
UCAGCUCUCUUUGCCUUCGGGCUCAGAUUCUAUGCAGUAAAAGUUCUUUAUAGUUUAAUCUCUAUAACGGCCCUACGGGGCCAUUUUACUUGAUUAAACCAGUUUUUGGACCCCGCCUUGGGGCCGCUGAGCACUGCUCAUGUUCUGAGGCACAGUGUCGCUCUUAUUGCACUGACUGGAGCUGAUGCGAACUUAC